This 68-nucleotide transfer RNA is filed under the name Hemidactylus frenatus (common house gecko). Its description in RNAcentral is "tRNA-Trp". Lineage: Eukaryota; Metazoa; Chordata; Lepidosauria; Squamata; Gekkonidae. The record is from RNAcentral.
AGAAAUUUAAGUUACUUAAACUAAAGGCCUUCAAAGCUCUAAACAGGGAACCCCCCCCCUAAUUUCUG